GGAGGCAUAGCUCAGCCGGGAGAGCACUUGCUCGACAAGCAAGGGGUCGCUGGUUCAAGUCCAGUUGUCUCCA
Molecule: transfer RNA, 73 nt
Filed under: Kineothrix alysoides
Lineage: Bacteria; Bacillati; Bacillota; Clostridia; Lachnospirales; Lachnospiraceae
Rfam family: tRNA
About the family: Transfer RNA (tRNA) molecules are approximately 80 nucleotides in length. Their secondary structure includes four short double-helical elements and three loops (D, anti-codon, and T loops).
Source: Rfam by way of RNAcentral